ACUCCUACGGGAGGCAGCAGUGGGGAAUUUUGCGCAAUGGGCGAAAGCCUGACGCAGCAACGCCGCGUGAGUGAUGAAGGCUUUCGGGUCGUAAAGCUCUGUCGAGGGGAAAGAAGUGUAUUGUGGCUAAUAUCCACGAUACUUGACGGUACCCCUAAAGGAAGCACCGGCUAACUCCGUGCCAGCAGCCGCGGUAAUACGGGGGGUGCAAGCGUUGUUCGGAAUUAUUGGGCGUAAAGAGCGUGUAGGCGGUUUGUUUAGUCUGAUGUGAAAGCCCUGGGCUCAACCCAGGAAGUGCAUUGGAUACUGGCAGACUUGAAUACGGGAGAGGGUAGUGGAAUUCCUAGUGUAGGAGUGAAAUCCGUAGAUAUUAGGAGGAACACCGGUGGCGAAGGCGGCUGCCUGGACCGAUAUUGACGCUGAGACGCGAAAGCGUGGGUAGCAAACAGGAUUAGAUACCCUGGUAGUCCACGCCGUAAACGAUGAGAACUAGGUGUCGCGGGUA
RNAcentral lists this ribosomal RNA (505 nucleotides) under uncultured Geobacter sp. RNAcentral describes it as "bacterial SSU rRNA". It matches the Rfam family "Bacterial small subunit ribosomal RNA", at positions 335 to 831 of the family's 1533-position model. Lineage: Bacteria; Pseudomonadati; Thermodesulfobacteriota; Desulfuromonadia; Geobacterales; Geobacteraceae. The record is from RNAcentral.